UAAGGAAUAUUGGUCAAUGGACGCAAGUCUGAACCAGCCAUGCCGCGUGAAGGAUGAAGGUCCUCUGGAUUGUAAACUUCUUUUAUCUGGGACGAAAACGGGAUUUUUAUCUCAAUUGACGGUACCAGAGGAAUAAGCACCGGCUAACUCCGUGCCAGCAGCCGCGGUAAUACGGAGGGUGCGAGCGUUAUCCGGAUUUACUGGGUUUAAAGGGUGCGUAGGUGGGCUUAUAAGUCAGUGGUGAAAUCGCCGAGCUUAACUUGGAAGCUGCCGUUGAUACUAUAGGUCGUGAAUUAUCUGGAGNUAAGCGGAAUAUGUCAUGUAGCGGUGAAAUGCUUAGAUAUGACAAAGAACACCAAUUGCGAAGGCAGCUUACUACAUAUAAAUUGACGCUGAGGCACGAAAGCGUGGGGAUCAAACA
This 421-nucleotide ribosomal RNA is filed under the name uncultured bacterium. Its description in RNAcentral is "bacterial SSU rRNA". It matches the Rfam family "Bacterial small subunit ribosomal RNA", at positions 355 to 774 of the family's 1533-position model. The record is from RNAcentral.